This 466-nucleotide ribosomal RNA is filed under the name uncultured bacterium. RNAcentral describes it as "partial 16S ribosomal RNA". It matches the Rfam family "Bacterial small subunit ribosomal RNA", at positions 28 to 507 of the family's 1533-position model. The record is from RNAcentral.
GAUGAACGCUGGCGGCGUGCUUAACACAUGCAAGUCGAACGAUGAAGCCCAGCUUGCUGGGUGGAUUAGUGGCGAACGGGUGAGUAACACGUGAGUAACCUGCCCUUGACUCUGGGAUAAGCCUGGGAAACUGGGUCUAAUACUGGAUAUGACUUCUCAUCGCAUGGUGGGGGGUGGACAGAUUUAUUGGUCUUGGAUGGACUCGCGGCCUAUCAGCUUGUUGGUGAGGCAAUGGCUCACCAAGGCGACGACGGGUAGCCGGCCUGAGAGGGUGACCGGCCACACUGGGACUGAGACACGGCCCAGACUCCUACGGGAGGCAGCAGUGGGGAAUAUUGCACAAUGGGCGCAAGCCUGAUGCAGCGACGCCGCGUGAGGGAUGACGGCCUUCGGGGUGUAAACCUCUUUCAGUAGGGAAGAAGCGAGAGUGACGGUACCUGCAGAAGAAGCGCCGGCUAACUACGUG